This 611-nucleotide long non-coding RNA is filed under the name Rattus norvegicus (Norway rat). RNAcentral describes it as "long non-coding RNA NONRATT018159". The record is from RNAcentral. Lineage: Eukaryota; Metazoa; Chordata; Mammalia; Rodentia; Muridae.
GAGGAAUGCCCGCCCCUGAACAGGCCUCACUGGUGGAGGAGGGGCAACCACAGACCCACCAGGAAGCUGUCUCCACUGGCCCAGGCAUGGAACCCGAGACCACAGCCACCACUAUUCUAGCUUCCGUGAAGGAGCAGGUGUUUACAUCCCUGAGUACAUUGGGAUGACUGGCAUGUAGAGCUGCUCCAGCUGCCAGUCAGAAUCGGAACAUGCAGGAUACUUGUGCGUCUGCAAGAGCUUCAGUUUCAACGACUCACCCGAGAACUGGAAGUGGAAAGGCAGAUUGUUGCCAGUCAGCUAGAAAGAUGUAGGCUUGGAGCAGAAUCGCCCAGCAUCGCCAGCACCAGCUCAACUGAAAAGUCAUUUCCUUGGAGAUCAACAGAUGUGCCAAAUACUGGUGUAAGCAAACCUAGAGUUUCUGACACUGUUCAUCCCAACAACUAUCUCAUCAGGACGGAGCCAGAGCAAGGGGCCCUCUACUCACCAGAGCAGACGUCUCUCCAUGAAAGUGAGGGAUCGUUGGGAAACUCAAGAAGUUCAACACAGAUGAAUUCUUACUCUGACAGUGGAUACCAGGAAGCAGGGAGUUUCCACAACAGCCAGACCGUGAA